Xyrichtys novacula (pearly razorfish) is the source of this 11114-nucleotide non-coding RNA. NCBI's taxonomy places the organism in Eukaryota, Metazoa, Chordata, Actinopteri, Labriformes, Labridae. The record is from the annotation of a GenBank genome assembly.
AAAUAUGGCUUUAUGUUUUGAAACCCAACAUAACAGGAUAUUUCACUUUACUAAAUUUCACAUGUCCAAUUUCACAUGUGUCCCUCGGGAUGUGCAGGACAAGAUCAGUGGCAUGUCGUGAAAGUUGAAUUAAAAAACUAAGAUGAUCAGCAAGACUGUCAACAAAUAUGAGCAGGUACAGAUGUUGGAAAUAUCUAGAUUUUGGUUCUUUAUUAGUUUUUUCUCUGUAGUGGUAUACUGUGUGACUCAAUUUCCAAUUUCCAUCCACAGAGUUGUCCUAACAGGCCUCCAAAACUGUUGUGUCUUAGUACUGCUACAGCCAAUAUCAGCUACUACUACCAAACACAGCUGCCAGUGCAGCUUCCUUAUGCAAAGCAGCAAAAAAGUGGGUCAGGUUAUUUUUUGUUCUUCUUUUUUUAAUGUGCAGGUAUUUUUCUAAUGUGACUCAUACGCAACAUGCUUAUCAAUUAUUAAAGGUUCAACACGACAAAGCAGAAAACCACUGCAACAUAAGAAACUGACGGUGAAAUUGACCUGAACAAGCCAUGCUGAGGGCAGAAGAGCAUUCAGAAAUCCAUCAUCUAUGGAGACCAGGUCAAGUGCACAGGCUGGCAAAUUAAACAUGAUAUUAGCAGCAAACCAUUUGGAGGUAGUUUUGGCGCUGCCGGCAGGAGCUGAGUUCCAAAUAUCUCAUAGAUUUUCGGCGGGGAUCAGACAAUCAAACACAACAAUAACAGUGAAAUGUUUGGUGGUGGUUUUGGUGUUGUGGGCAGGUGAGGAGCACAGCUUGAAAAGAAAAUGGCAUCUUCAUUAAGUUUGUGUGCAGACUGCAUGAUGUUUAGUUUGUUGAAACAGCUGCAUCUAUGAGGGGGCUCCUUGAUCACUACUACUCCUUGAGUACAGUCUGAGCAAUCUUUUAGUUAGGCUAAAAGUGUAUCACUGCUGAGAUCUUUAAUAUUUUUGUUUUCUUUUACACCAAGCUGUGUGAUUUAAUCUGAAUAAAAAGUUUGACUUUGCUUUUAUUCUGAACAGAGGAACAAUACUCGUGGCUCUCCUCUCUGUAAAAAGCUCAAAGUUUUUUUGCAGUUGUGCAACAGCAAAAGAGACCAUUUUGUAAGUAUACUUUUUUUUCCCUCAGGUAUGGGCCACAGCCCUGUAUAUGUCUGAAUAAUAGAUUUAGCCAAUUCCACCAGCCUUGAGUCAAUCACAGUGCCAUGCUCUAUGUUUUCUCUGGCUCAGCUCCCUCCUUUUCAUAGAUCCCAUUCAGCUCCGAGUCGUCUACAGCGAGAGAGCAGAGAGCGAGGAGUAUGUUCGCUUCCACUCAGUCUUUAUUUUUAGGUUUGAGUAGACUUACAGAUGGCCUACAUAAAACUGAAUGGAGCUUCAUUUUAACAGCGGGACCCAGAAUUGGCUGGCGUGCCAUUGUGUGGUCUCUAUUAUGGGAAUAUGGGGGAGUUUAGUAAUACAGCCUGUCCCUUGCUGUCUGUGCACAUGGCAGACAUGAUUUUCCGUGAUGAUUUCUGAAAUGGGUUUGUCCUCAGGGUUUGUGGCGGUGUGCCAUGAGGUUAAAGGCCAGUGCCUCUGAAGAGGUGGUCCAAUUGUUUGGCGAGCGAUGUAACGUCAUGCUCCCCCAAAAUGAUUCAUCUACCGCAGUCCUGUCCGCCAAUUCCAUCUGCUCAAGCCUUCAGCUAAAUUGAAGAAGACAGGAAUAAAAGUUUGAGGAGAAGGCGUUGAGAAUUAAAGUGGAGAUAUUACAAGGGGGGGCUCUCCCCGAGAGAUCAAAUUAAGACGAGCCACAUGAGACAUUCUUAAGAGCGAGACGACAGGAAAAUUAAUCAGCAGAAUGAAGGAUUAUGAAUUAGAAGGUGUCAAAAUGGUAAUAGUCUGUUAAGUAUGCAGGCUGUUCAGAGAUCUCAGUGCAGUCUUGCAGCACAUUUUGACCUCAGAGGUUUUGGAUCAUUUUUUAAUAUAACACAUAGAAGUACAUCCUGAAAUCACAGACAUCUAUCAGCAUUCAUUACCUUUUAUUUCCUUCUCCACUUUUUCUCUUACGCAGAAAUCAGAUCACAUAAGUUUUCAAUCAGUACUGCUCGCUAUGCCAGACUAGAGAACCAUACAGCAUACGCUUGCUGUGACUUGGCCAAAGAAAGCUGAAGAUCACUUGUCGUCUUUAGACCAUUUGAAAAUUUCUUUUUCCUCUUCCUGAAAGACACACAAGUAGGAUAGAGACUUUGCACCUCAUUCAUCCUUAUGAUUGCUUCGCUGUCAUUUAGGAGGUAGCAGGAACCCAUCGUCCAUCCUUUGAUGACAGUAUUCGCUUCUUGAAAUGGUGCAAAACUUUCCUGGUGUUCUGGUUUAGCUAGCUAGAGGUAAGAGAUCAAAUAUUUCCAGCAAAGACUUAGAUUGGGGAAGAAAAAAAAAACAUUCAGGCAAGGAAUUACGGCCUGAGCCAGGCCACUUUAAAGAAGGACUUUAUUUCCUCUAUUUUGAUGAAUUUUACUGAAGGUAAAUCACCAACUCAUUAAACCAAGACCAGCAGUUGUACCUUACAGGACAUUUCCAUUCAAGUUACACUUCCCGUAAACCUUUUUCCAGGAUGAAGCAUAUUGAUUUUUUCCAUCAAAUGUAAGAUAUUUGUUCUGUGCCUCUUAUUUUCUUCAAAUCACAUAUAGUUGGAAGAGGAACAACCAAGCUUUGUAAUUUAUAUGACCUUACUCCAGUUUGUCCAAGGCCAGAGGAACCAGAAGGACCUUUCAUGUACUUCCUACAGUCAGUCGAGCCUGGAAAUGACACUUUUGGGCAGAUGAAAUCCCCAACACUCCAGUUGUCUCAGGUGUGUCUCAGUCCCUGUUAAUAGUUAGUCACAUGAAACUUAAACGCUUGUUUAUUCAGUGGUGUGAAACAGAACAAGAAACAGAUUUUCUUUCAACCCACCUUGAAUCAACAGGUCGAGGGGCUAUGUAAACUAAAUACAGAUAUCCAGCUCUAACCUGCUCAACACAUCUCAUUGUCCAGUCUCCAAAAUGUUAAGUUUGUUAAAAUAGCUUGAAACCCAGUGCUUGCAAAUAGGUCUGAUUACCUUAAUUCAGAGAAAUGUGAUGUAUCAGAGGAUAAGGGGCGAGUUUUAAGGAUUACAUCAACACUGCCUCAUGAAAAUCUGCAGCUUUUACAGUCUUAAGAAGAUCCUUUAAACAGCUGAUCUACAGUAAGGCUCUGUUAUCCUCUUUAAUUUUACAGUAAGAGUUUGAACACGAGUAUUUCCUAAGUCUUAGAGGUAAAAAAAAAAAACAUUGAUUACAUCCUUAUCUCUUGAUGCUGUUACAAAGAUUUAAAAUCAUCCAAGAAGAGACAGAGCCAUAAAAUCAACAGACAGAAAGGAAGCGUCUGACAGAUGCAUUUCCCUCAGACCAAAAACAGAGAUAACAGGAGACUCACUAUCAGUGGGAAGUCCAGUUUAAGAUAUUCCCACAGCCCAACUUCUGACAACAAGAAACAUGUACAACAGGCAGCCAAAAUAACCAGAAAUAACCCAAAUAACUCAGGACUCUGACUCUGAGGAAACUCCAUAUCAGGUACAAAACUUCACCCGUCUGUUAAGGUGGGUUUAAAAACAAUCAGCAUCCUCACUCUGCAGACUAACUGACUGGAAUCAGGGAUUUUUAUCAGUGAGUUUCCAUAACAACAGAAUAAAAGGACCCCAAAAGGUCAAAUAUCUGUGUCUGUAAACUGCAGGUGCAUCGGUUAAGAACAUUUUGAAACACUUUAAAUGUCAGAGAAAAUGUGGCGUUUCUCUUUUGUCUUUAUGGCUGCACAAAAUUCAACAAAAAGGAACCUUUCAGUGUACUCGUGUAUUUCAUUCUUUAAUAUUUCAUUGCAAAUGUAUUUUGAUUACUCUCUGGAUAUUUGGUAAUUAAAAAGGAACAUGUUGAAAUACCAGCUUAAAUUUAAAAAGUAACAGAAGUGAAAAAUAACAACUAGAAACCAAACAUACUGUAGUUUCAAUAGCUUAAGCUGUCAAUUAACCCUGACUUUUUCACUGUAUGUGUGCCAUAUUUAAAAAAAAAAAAACUAACAUGACAGCAUCUGUUAUAGCUUUACACUAUGCUCACUUGGAUCAAUUUUAUGCACCUGGGAAAUAAUUCUGCUUUUUAGCAGGUGUUUUUGGGCUGUGGUGGUCUCGUCUCAUCUGCAGAGCUAAAGUAGAAAUGGUUUAGCUGCUGUUUUUGUUGUAACACCCUUUAAGAGCUUUUGCAGCAGACUGUGUUUUGUUCAGUGUUGUACAUUGUAAAAUCAAACUAGUUCCAAUACACUGAUGAGACUUUUCGCCUUAAAGGAAUAUUCCGGUGUAAAAUUAAGUUAGGGUCAAACACACUGUAACACCAAGUUAGAUACCCCUUUGAGAGAUGAAUGUUGCCGACUGCUUGCUUCUCUAGUUAUACCAACUUUAGUAACGACCGCACAAUAGCACCACUCUAAACCAAAAAUAAUGCUCAGAACAGCACCUAACUUCAUCAACAGUACAUAUAGGGUCCCAGCCAUAGUACUAGCCACCAAACAUCUUUUUAGCUUUGCCUAAUUUCUUUAGCAAAGAGACUAAAUACAACUUACCUACUCUCUUCCAGCAGCCGCUUGUUUGUGGGGGGAGCCUAGACGAAUCCAUCAUCGAGUGCAGCGGAGUUUCGCAGCUCAAGGAAGAACAUUUAUGAUCGUUACUUUAUAGAAAUGCAAUCAGACUGAGAAGCACUACCACGUCAUAUGGUGAUUAUUUGAGAAAUAAGGGUUAGGGUUAGAUAUUUCAUGAAAAGCAAAGAAAAUCCUAUCUCUGUGUGUUUAGCCCAUCAAAUUUGAAAAGUUAGAGGACCAAUAACAUUAAUUUGUAAGCGCAAUUUGGCAAAAGGUUCAGAAUUUAACCCAAACACAGAGGAAAUCUACCUCGUAGUUGUUGAUUUGGGUGAGAAAGUUUAUAUAUCCUCUAAAAUAAAAGGGAUAAGGCUGAAGAAACACCAAAGUGAAAAAAAAUUAAGGCUAAAGAAACACCAAAGUAAGAGAAACAAAUUCAAAAGUGAACUAUUCCCCAUUCUUGAAAAGCUACAGCUCUCUGAACUCAUAUAAGAUUAAAGUCUGUUGGAAUCUGCUCAAUUUAAUAAUUAAUCCAGAGAAAAGACUUGAACCCUUGCCUGUUGACACUGGCAAAAGUGCUAGUUUGGUGGAUUUAAAUGUGUUUGAUUUUUUUAAACACUGCUUUUAACUUAUUUGGAGAGCAUAAAACUGGAGACUUUUUAAAAGGUUUCUUUAUAACUUUAAAAAAACAAAAUCGGAUCGGAGAUUUGCAGCAGCAGUAACUCCGACUCAGAGCUCAGCUGCACCUUCAUUACUGCUGAUGAAACAGGUUGUUCCAGUGGACCAAAGAACAGUCUGCUCCUGCCCUUUUCCAGGAAAUUUCUUAUUGUGUGUGAGAUGGUGUGCUCUAAAUGCUAUGACAGGACUCUUAAGGUUGUUGAUGCUGGAAGGUAAAAGGCGGUAAAUUUGCCUGGGAGAAAGCGAGAGGGAAGAACAGAAAGUAGAGGAACGAGAGGAAUCGGAUCAGACAGCAGUGGAGGCAAAGCAAAGAGAGCGAGCAAAGAUUGUCUGAGACGGACUUUUCUUGGCAGACUUUCCUGAAUCACUGCACAUUCCCGCAAGAUUAAUUGAAGCUGUUUCUGUUUUUGUUUCUCCAGUCUGUGAAUUACCUCCAGUUUAUAGAGAAACAGCUGUUCACCCACUUCCCCCAGACUUGGCCUGUGUGAUUAUGCGUCGAGUGACAACCAAGACAAACAUCCAGGGCUCGCUGGAGCGGCUCAGACGCAGCCUUCACGCUUUUCUGAUGUUCUUUCCAUUUCACAAGCUGCUACUCAUUUACAUAAUGAUUAAUAAAAAGACACAAUCAUUUACAGCGACAGAAAUAUUUAUUAAAUCUUUUUUUGUUGUUGUUUCAGUUAGUCAUAGCUGCUCCAACACGUGUAUUUACAAAGAAAUGGCCUUUUUUGUAGAAAAUCCUAGUGAGGGAUUGAGCAGGAAACAGACUUGAGAAUAGAUUCAUGAGUACAUGGGAAGAUGGGGCUCAUAGGCACAAGGUACAGGUACUACAGAGUCAAAGAAAUGUGCAGUUUUGUGGCACAUCAGUGUCGAGUUUGGAAAAGAAAACAAAGCUGUGACUUCGCGAAAAAAAACUUCCCAAUGCGAGAUGCACCGUCAAAAACACACAUCCUUUUUUUGACAUACAGAGGAUAAACAAAAGCUGCAAACCUGGGUGCUGUUUUCAGGCUACAUGGUACCAAAAUUGUACCAUUGUUCAUAAUACCUGCCCUCUGACUGUACGCUCAAUACUUGCAUGACUGCCAUUUUUUUCUGAUGUCAGGCUGAGUUGGCUCAGAUGCUUUUCCAGUCUCAAAAUAGUGCUAUUAUAAAUCUUAUACAUGAGGAGAAUUCAGCCCGACUGUUUUUUGAAGUUCUGAGUUUACGUGACACACUAAAAACAGCUCUGGAUGAUACAUGGAAGUAAGUCAACGUGUAUGAAAUGUGAUGCCCUGACUUGUUUUGCCUUUCCUUAAUAUGACGGAUUUUUUUUGUCCUUCAGCCGUGAUAACCGCUGUGAUUUCACCAGAUCUGUGGUUGGUUCGUCUCUGCUUUGCUUUGGCUACGUGCUUUCUCGCUCAUCAACAGAGAGGUGGACUUUCUGCGUCUUUCUUUCCAUUAUAAGCUUUGAAACCCUCCGACUGAUUGACUCCACGCCUGACUCCACUCACUACGACUAUUUGUUGGUGUGGUUCAGUGAAAUAAGAUCUGGCAUCGACACAUAAUGUUUAAUUAUAAAAUUAACCAAUCAUUUUGAUAAUCCGUGUCUGACUUCUUGUCUCCCUCGAUCUGCCUCAUGCUAAUUGAUGCAUCGUGCUUCGGUAUCCGGUGACAAUAAAAGCCGCGCACAUCUGAGUUGAGAAACACAACGCAGCAGAGCAGGCGGAGGCUGAGACAUCAACUGAAGCGAAAACCUGUCUGCUCUGUGGUUGUGGUGGAGUGGAGAUGGACCAAACAUGGAUCUGGUGGAUCUUAGAUGCAAGGAUAUGGCAGAUAGUGGCCAUGGUCAGUCAUGUGUUUGUGACAGUUUUUAUCCUGAUAAAUGGAUAGUUUGAAAACCAGGUGGUCUUGGUUUUAAAUAAACUAUUAAAUGACACUUAAAGGUGAUCCUAACUGAGCAACUGUGGCCCCCUCUGGCAAUAUCCUGAACAUAAUUCCCUGACUGAAGAGAGUUUAGCAGCUGGAAACACAUUUUAGUGAAAAUUUAGAGUCAAAGAGCCGUAUCUAAAAUUGAAACAGCAUGCAUGAGAACACAUUAGCAACAGCCGGACAGCAGCUUAGCAUUUAAUCAGUUCUUAGAAACAUUACAGAUCAAAAGUGUGAAAUAAAAAGACAACACAGACUUCCUCAAUGUUUUUGACCAGCUGAUUGUAAAGUUGACCAAUGUAAAGUCCUCCAAUGAUCUUCUGGAUUAACUGUAAUCAUACUUUCCUUUUUUCUAUCCUGAAGCUGAUACUGAUCAAUUUGUAUUAUUAAAACAAAAGGAUAACGCAAAAUUAGCAUCUGAGCUUCAUGUACCGAGCGUGACAUCAGAACAAAAAUCACCAGCCUUUGUUCAAUACUUUAGUCAAGAUGAUUUUAACCCUCACUGAGCUUCUACAUCCUGCAUCUUAAACAACAUUUUAGAUGCAACAACACAACAAACACGAGUGACUUCCAGAAAAAAAUGAAGAAAGCGGAUAUUCUUGCUGACGGAGAUCCACCUGUUCUCUCUUCAGGCCCUUUGACUCAUGAUUGUUGCUGACAUGUUAGCACACACACCAACAUUUAUAGACGGAGGAUGUGAUGAUGAUCCUGUAUUUUCAUAUAAAAGACAUAUAAAAUGAAACAAAGCAUUUUUAAUAUCAAACAGUAAGCUUUUUUUCUUGCUAAGAAUAUUAAUGUGUCAGUUAAAUCGCCCUUCAAAAGAGGUGUGAAAAAAGAGAAAGUAUCUAACACUGUAUGUUACAACAGGCUAAUUGUUGGAUACACAGUAUCCAUGAAACUAACAGAUAGUUUUUUUUCUCAUUGUGGCGUGGUUAGAAGAGACGAUUGCAGUGACUGCGGACUCUUAAUGUUGGCAGAAAUAGAAAGCAUCAGGGCUGGAGGGUGUGAGGACGAAACCAUUUUAGAUCAAGUAAUAAUUUGUGCCUUUAAAUUGAACAUUUUUCUUUGAAACUAAUCAACAUGCUGUUUGAAAUACUGAGAUUAUUUUCCACAAGCACUCUCGGCCCAGACGCAGACACGCAUUAGUCUUUGUUUGGCUUUACUCUUGGAACAGAGGGAGUCAAACUACGCAGCUGUGUCCCAGUUCAGAGGCUGCAUCCUUCAAAGACCAGUUACGUCCCAGCAAGCUGAGGGCUGCACCAUCUUAAAUGACAACGGCUUCCUCCUUUUAUCAAGCAAUACCACAAGAUGGCAGAGCAGCUGAGUAAAACCCUGUCUAAUAUUAGUAUCUAUUUUUUUUUUACUCAGUGGAAUAAUGAAGGAUUUAGAGGUUAGAAAAAAAUGUCCUGGAACUUAAAGCUCCUGUGAGAAACUUUAAGUUGGUAUAAAUUUUGGCGCCCCCUGUGGACAAAACAGUCUUUGCAUGCACAGCUUGUGGCGUGAUGGGAAAUCCUCCAUAGACCAGACAGUCUCAUUUUAGAGAAUCACUACACAGAAGCAUUUUCAACAGACAUCAGUAAACUAUUUUUGCUUUUGGUUGAACGGAAAUGUUUUCAUGGACGGUUUAAAAUGCAAACUUUUGAAAUUAGGAGUGAAAUCUCUGAAAAGCGCCACUUUGUAAACUGUAGCCAGCUAUUUAACGCCAUAAAACUUACUUCAACCACUGGUCUGGCCAUGCAUGUUUUUUAACAGCGUCAAAUAUGUGCUGAUUUUUUUUAAACCCAACAGACAGACUUUCUGUUUUUAACAAGACUGUUCAAAACUUCAUAAAGCCACAAUUCAGACCCUGAUGAUGGGGUCCUUUGUCAGCUGGAUCCUUCAAAAAAUGCUACCCCUGUUUUGGGACACAGUUUUCCUUUUUACUUUUUAGUGGAGUCAAAAAAAGGGCUGUAAUCUCAUUAAUCUUUCAGAAAUAAAUAAUAUCAGGGUAAGUAUUAGGCCUAUUUGUUUCAGUGAAUAGGGACUCUGCCAGAGAGCAACAGUACUAGACGCAACAAUGCAGAACCAGGGCGGGAUUGUUGGUUAUCCGUCUGUUAUUGAGAGGGUUUAGAUACAUUCAAGAGUGAGUUUUAUGCUACAGUGACAUGAGCCGGUCUGGUGAGAAAUACCUCGCAAGCAUCGAUAGCGGAGUGAGGAAAAGGGAAAGAAAAGAUCAUUCAACGCCAUGGACGGCUGCUUUAAAGCGGGAAAAAAAGAGGACGGCGAUGCAACGCUUUAAACUGGAUGGCGCACUUUUCAAAACACAAACGAGAAAGACUGUUUAUGAUUCCAGAAAAAAGGAAAUAUCUAUGCUCUGGAUUGAAGAUUCAGAUGUUUUGUAUAAUGAAACUUGGUUCCCUAACAUUGGCAAGGUCUCAAAAAUAGUAGCUGUCUUAUCUUCAGUUACUAAUAGAAGAUUUAGAUGUGGACCAGUAGGCGGAAACGAUAUGUUUGCAGCAUGUUCCUGAUUUAAAACAUGAGUACUGAUCUCAGCAGGAGCCCUGCACGGCUCCACAUCUCUCUCUCUACAUCCUCUCUGGUCCACUUUGGACCUUUGAAGAGAACAGAACACCUCGUUCUGUUUAUUCCAGCUCUCCUGGCGGUUGAUAAGGAUGUCACUUUUCACAACAUCAAAGAGGGCCAGCAAACCUCACACACCCCUGCCCACCUACACACACACACACUGCUGUAUGAGCCCGUCACUGAAACAUCUUCAGCCACAGAAAACUUGAGCUGCUUUUAAAAAAAUCAUCUCUUCUCGCCUCAAGUUCGGCAUUUUCGUAUCCCUGAACUCUGUAGGAAAUUUGCCUCUUUCUUUAUGUACAACAGUUGUGUUAUAACAGUGAUUCACGAAAGCAAUAGUGUAAUAGCAAAACUACAUUGGUGACAUUUUUAAUGACAGAUUCAAAACACAAGCAUUCUACGAUUUCUACACCCUGAUAGCACAUCAGACGUUUUUUUUCCUUCCUGGACUUUUUUUUAAAAACAAUUUAAAAAAAUCAUCAGCCAUCAAUGCAAGCAGAUACAUAAGUUGUCCUCAGUGUUUUUGUAUGAUUGUAUCAAAGAAACUGUGUAUGUUUGUAAUAUGAGCUAACUUAAUGGGUAAGUUUUUUUUAUUCUUUUUUUUAAUUGCCGUUCUACCGGACUCGCAGACUAAACCAGAACAGAAAAAAGCACAAGGACUUCACAAUAAAUAGGAAAAAUACAUUUUGCCUGGCAAAUAUCCACUUCUACGCUCCAUUCAAAUAUUUUACUGUACACCCGUGUUGGCUGCUACAAUUGAAUUAUGUGAUUAUUAAAAACAAACACAUUAAUCAUUCAUUAAACCUCCUCUAUCCAAACACUAAAAGAUGAGUGCUUCUUUAAAUUUUCUUUUUUACUCUCCUCCACAUUCCUCCACAGUCUGAGUCGGUGCAUCUGACUCCUUUUUAACCUGAGAGGAAGGUUAAGUCAUCAAAGGCCUGCCCUCCUCACCCCAGCGCCCUUGGCAACAGUCUCUUAGCAACAUCAUCAUUUUCCUUUCCUUUUUUUUUUUUUUUUCUUUUGGACCAUGGGUGAUGUGUCGCUCCUGGAUCUUUUUCCUAAUCUCCUCCACUCUUACAUGAGAUUUAAUGUUGUUUCAUGUGUGGGAUUUGUGAUGUUUUCCUGAACUUAAAAGAUGUAAAAAAAAGUCUGUAAACUCUGAAGGGAUCCUGCUGUGCUUCUUUGCAGAAACAGCUGAAAAGUAUUCUGAUUGUGUAACUGUGUGAGUGCGUCUAAAACAUGUUUGUGUUCAAUGUUUCAUAUCUGCAUACUGUGAACUGUAGUGAGGCAAACAGGUAAGAGACUCCACCUCUUUCACCUCGGGGUGCCUGGAUCAUCAGCACCAACAGAAA